UUGAUUAUUAGACGGAUCUAACUCAUUAAUAAUUGUGGUGGGUCAUGACUUUUAAUAGGGCUCCAAGGCGUCCAACCCAUUGAAUUGCUCUCUGUCAGAUCUUGCGCACUCAACGUUCUCCAUUGAAGCGCAGUUGACAUUCUCCAUUGAAUCUAGUUCUUGUAUCCCCCAUUGAAGCAGCUUCUGAGAUCGAAUGGCAAAAGGUCUGAUAUGGGCAACAACGGAGGAUUUAAUGAGGAAUAAGGGUCGAGUUCUAUCUUUGUACAGACAAAUAUUGCGGAGUCUUAAUUCUCCAGACUUACCGCUGCCCUUUGCAGCAAGAAUGGCCAAGAAAGCUGAGGUUCGUGCUAUCUUCAUGCUGGGAUCUGAAGAGAGGUCUCUACACAAUGUUGCUGACCUCAUUGAUGCUGCAGAGUACUCGUUAUCUCUCUUGAACAAAGGCGAAAUCCCUAAACACAUCCAAUGAAUACUUGAGAAAAUUUGCUGAUAAGGCCAUAGAGGAUUAGUGGUGGGAUGCUUGGAAUCUGGAAACCUUCACUGUUUGAUGGUGUGGGAGAAACUAUUUGUCUGCAAAUUGAACUUCGAGAUGAUCGUCAUUGAAAUCUGUAAACACUGCCAUGUUGUACAGAAUUUUGUAAUAUCUUUUAGACGGCCACAUGAUAAUGAUCCUUUGGAUACAUACAUACUCUAAUAAAAUGGCCUUCAUGUUGCUGGUCUGCUUACCCAAAAGUCAAACUUCAAUUAUAGAGGCUUUGUGCUCCUUUGCUGCAUUGAGCUUAUUCAGUUUGAACCUUCUAGCUCCAUUUUCUGCCUUCUACCAUCUCUCUUAUAUGACAGAAUAUGAGUGUGAAAUUUAAUUGCGUUUCUGGCAGAUUCAUCUAGUUUAUUCUGAGUUGCCUGCUGCAUGAGAGAGAAGUUUGUAAGUGCAGUGUGUAAAAUCUGACGAUUUGUAACUAGAUAUGCAAUGUGGUGUACUGGUUGGUUGAGGGAUCACAUGAUGUUUAAGCUUUCCGUAUCUGCAUCGGCCCUGUCUGUGUUUUAGUUCUCGUAACUAGCCAUGUAGGUGUCGUGCUAGAUUGUUUGCUUCGACCUUAUACACCUGAACAAAUUAGUCUUUGUAAGGAUCAUAUCUUAGCCUGUAAUUCUGAUGUUAUUUGAACUGUAACUAUCUUCUGCUCUGGUCGAGGUGUUCCAUAUUUGCUAGAUCAUGUUUUAAACCAUUGAAAAGCCAUUAAAGUACAAGAUUCUAUUUGCAUUACAAUCUUUCAAGUACAGUCUAGAGCUGAACUCGUCCAACACAUAAACUAGUAGACUCCAUUAUUACUCGUAAUAUAUUACUCGUAUCAUACAACUUCGUAUUAAUUAUU
Molecule: long non-coding RNA, 1367 nt
Organism: Chenopodium quinoa (quinoa)
Lineage: Eukaryota; Viridiplantae; Streptophyta; Magnoliopsida; Caryophyllales; Amaranthaceae
Exons: 3
Source: RefSeq, a predicted model, not a curated record